GCAUUGGUGGCUCAGUGGUAGAGCUCUUGCCUGCCACGCUGGAGGCCCGGGUUCGUCUCCCGGCCAGUGCG
This 71-nucleotide transfer RNA is filed under the name Anguilla anguilla (European eel). It matches the Rfam family "tRNA". From Rfam's summary of the family: Transfer RNA (tRNA) molecules are approximately 80 nucleotides in length. Their secondary structure includes four short double-helical elements and three loops (D, anti-codon, and T loops). Lineage: Eukaryota; Metazoa; Chordata; Actinopteri; Anguilliformes; Anguillidae. The record is from Rfam by way of RNAcentral.